CCUACGGGAGGCAGCAGUAGGGAAUCUUGCACAAUGGGCGAAAGCCUGAUGCAGCAACGCCGCGUGGGUGAAGAAGGUCUUCGGAUUGUAAAACUCUGUUUUUAGAGAAGAAAGGGCGGGAGAGUAACUGUUCACGUUUCGACUGUAUCUAUCCAGAAAGCCACGGUUAACUACGUGCCAGCAGCUGCGGUAAUACGGAGGUGGCAAGCGUUAUCCGGAUUUAUUGGGCGUAAAGGGAGCGCAGUUGGUCUGUUAAGUCUGAUGUGAAAGCCUGCGGCUUAACCGGCGUAGUGCAUUGGAGACUGGGAGGCUUGAGUGCAGAAGAGGAGGGCGGAAUUCGUGGUGUAGCGGUGAAAUGCGUAGAUAUAAGGAAGAACUCCAGUGGCGAAGGCGGCUCUCUGGACUGGCACUGACGUUGAGGCUCGAAAGUGUGGGUAGCAAACAGGAUUAGAUACCCUAGUAGUC
RNAcentral lists this ribosomal RNA (465 nucleotides) under uncultured bacterium. RNAcentral's name for it is "partial 16S ribosomal RNA". It matches the Rfam family "Bacterial small subunit ribosomal RNA", at positions 338 to 795 of the family's 1533-position model. The record is from RNAcentral.